GACGAACGCUGGCGGCGUGCCUAAUACAUGCAAGUUGAGCGCUGAAGGUUGGUACUUGUACCGACUGGAUGAGCAGCGAACGGGUGAGUAACGCGUGGGGAAUCUGCCUUUGAGCGGGGGACAACAUUUGGAAACGAAUGCUAAUACCGCAUAAAAACUUUAAACACAAGUUUUAAGUUUGAAAGAUGCAAUUGCAUCACUCAAAGAUGAUCCCGCGUUGUAUUAGCUAGUUGGUGAGGUAAAGGCUCACCAAGGCGAUGAUACAUAGCCGACCUGAGAGGGUGAUCGGCCACAUUGGGACUGAGACACGGUCCAGACUCCUACGGGAGGCAGCAGUGGGGAAUAUUGCACAAUGGGCGCAAGCCUGAUGCAGCCAUGCCGCGUGUAUGAAGAAGGCCUUCGGGUUGUAAAGUACUUUCAGCGGGGAGGAAGGCGGUGAAGUUAAUAACUUCACCGAUUGACGUUACCCGCAGAAGAAGCACCGGCUAACUCCGUGCCAGCCGCCGCCGUAA
RNAcentral lists this ribosomal RNA (512 nucleotides) under uncultured bacterium. RNAcentral's name for it is "partial 16S ribosomal RNA". It matches the Rfam family "Bacterial small subunit ribosomal RNA", at positions 28 to 523 of the family's 1533-position model. The record is from RNAcentral.